ACGUAGGUGGCAAGCGUUGUCCGGAUUUAUUGGGCGUAAAGCGAGCGCAGGCGGUUCCUUAAGUCUGAUGUGAAAGCCCACGGCUCAACCGUGGAAGGUCAUUGGAAACUGGGGAACUUGAGUGCAGAAGAGGAGAGUGGAAUUCCAUGUGUAGCGGUGAAAUGCGUAGAUAUAUGGAGGAACACCAGUGGCGAAGGCGACUCUCUGGUCUGUAACUGACGCUGAGGCUCGAAAGCGUGGGGAGCAAACAGGAUUAGAUACCCUGGUAGUCCACGCCGUAAACGAUGAGUGCUAAGUGUUGGAGGGUUUCCACCCUUCAGUGCUGCAGCUAACGCAUUAAGCACUCCGCCUGGGGAGUACGGCCGCAAGGCUG
RNAcentral lists this ribosomal RNA (373 nucleotides) under uncultured bacterium. RNAcentral describes it as "bacterial SSU rRNA". It matches the Rfam family "Bacterial small subunit ribosomal RNA", at positions 525 to 896 of the family's 1533-position model. The record is from RNAcentral.